GAAUGGGGAAACCCAGUGUGACUCGUCACACUAUCAUUAACUGAAUCCAUAGGUUAAUGAGGCGAACCGGGGGAACUGAAACAUCUAAGUACCCCGAGGAAAAGAAAUCAACCGAGAUUCCCCCAGUAGCGGCGAGCGAACGGGGAGGAGCCCAGAGCCUGAAUCAGCAUGUGUGUUAGUGGAAGCGUCUGGAAAGGCGCGCGAUACAGGGUGACAGCCCCGUACACAAAAGCGCAUGUGCUGUGAGCUCGAUGAGUAGGGCGGGACACGUGGUAUCCUGUCUGAAUAUGGGGGGACCAUCCUCCAAGGCUAAAUACUCCUGACUGACCGAUAGUGAACCAGUACCGUGAGGGAAAGGCGAAAAGAACCCCGGCGAGGGGAGUGAAAAAGAACCUGAAACCGUGUACGUACAAGCAGUGGGAGCACAGGUUUACCUGUGUGACUGCGUACCUUUUGUAUAAUGGGUCAGCGACUUAUAUUCUGUAGCAAGGUUAACCGAAUAGGGGAGCCGGAGGGAAACCGAGUCUUAAU
Molecule: ribosomal RNA, 531 nt
Filed under: Salmonella enterica subsp. enterica serovar Enteritidis
Lineage: Bacteria; Pseudomonadati; Pseudomonadota; Gammaproteobacteria; Enterobacterales; Enterobacteriaceae
Description: partial 23S ribosomal RNA
Rfam family: Bacterial large subunit ribosomal RNA
Source: RNAcentral